UCCUGACCAAGAGUCAAGGAUUGAGAAAGUGUAAAAAAUGGUCCCCAAUGAGACUGUGAAUUGUGAUGCCUGUUUGGUUGCCUUUACAUUUAUCAAUAUUUCAUAUUCUGUUUAUCUAUGAAACAACAAUGUUGAUAAUAACACUAAAACAGCCAAUCUUGCCAUCAGAAAUAGUUAAACUUAAGUAAAAACAUAAGACAUAGAGUGACUCGUCAGGUAGAGAUGCAAUGCAUAAGAGAAUGGCCAGCAUGCUGAUGACUGGUCAUACAGAAGCUGAUCAUACAGAUGACCGGCCAUACAGACCGCAUCGUACACACAGUGAUCACAUCCUGAUGUAACCCAUCGCUCUCCAGCUGGAGGAAGUGCUGCUUUAUAAUCACAGAACAUUCACUCACUAUUAAAGUGAUUCUGGCUGCUAGAAAGGAGAACAUAUCCUACAACAUGAAAAAGUCAAGUCAACAGUUCACAUUGUUCACUCUAAACAAGAAUUUCACUUCAUCAGAAAGUUCAGUCCUCAAGAAAAGCUGCAUGCAGAAUCUGGAUUGUUGGGACUGCUACAUUGGACGUGGUGGAAAGCGAGCAAUGGAAACCAUGGGCACCAAUC
Carassius auratus (goldfish) is the source of this 604-nucleotide long non-coding RNA. RefSeq lists it as uncharacterized. Lineage: Eukaryota; Metazoa; Chordata; Actinopteri; Cypriniformes; Cyprinidae. The transcript is spliced from 3 exons. The record is from RefSeq and is a predicted model, not a curated record.